GACGAACCGUGCAAACGUUGUUCGGAAUCACUGGGCUUAAAGGGCGCGUAGGCGGGUGAUCAAGUCAGGGGUGAAAUCUUUCGGCUCAACCGGAAAAGUGCCCCUGAUACUGAUCGUCUCGAGGGAGGUAGGGGUAUGUGGAACUUCUGGUGGAGCGGUGAAAUGCGUUGAUAUCAGAAGGAACGCCGGUGGCGAAAGCGACGUACUGGACCUCUUCUGACGCUGAGGCGCGAAAGCCAGGGGAGCGAACGGG
Molecule: ribosomal RNA, 253 nt
Filed under: uncultured bacterium
Lineage: Bacteria
Description: partial 16S ribosomal RNA
Rfam family: Bacterial small subunit ribosomal RNA
Source: RNAcentral